UACGUAGGGGGCAAGCGUUGUCCGGAUUUAUUGGGCGUAAAGAGCGUGUAGGCGGCUAGGUAGGUCCGUUGUGAAAACUCGAGGCUUAACCUCGAGCUGUCGGCGGAAACCAUCUGGCUAGAGUCCGGAAGAGGAGAAUGGAAUUCCCGGUGUAGCGGUGAAAUGCGCAGAUAUCGGGAAGAACACCCGUGGCGAAGGCGGUUCUCUGGGACGGUACUGACGCUGAGACGCGAAAGCGUGGGGAGCGAACAGG
Molecule: ribosomal RNA, 253 nt
Filed under: uncultured bacterium
Lineage: Bacteria
Description: partial 16S ribosomal RNA
Rfam family: Bacterial small subunit ribosomal RNA
Source: RNAcentral